Molecule: ribosomal RNA, 456 nt
Filed under: uncultured bacterium
Lineage: Bacteria
Description: bacterial SSU rRNA
Rfam family: Bacterial small subunit ribosomal RNA
Source: RNAcentral
CGCCUAACACAUGCAAGUCGAACGAAGUAAGGAGCUUGCUCUUGCUUAGUGGCGGACGGGUGAGUAACACGUGAGCAACCUGCCUUAAAGAGGGGGACAACAGUUGGAAACGACUGCUAAUACCGCAUAAUGUGCGCUGGAAGCAUUUCCUAUGCACCAAAGGAGCAAUCCGCUUUAAGAUGGGCUCGCGCCUGAUUAGAUAGUUGGUGAGGUAACGGCCCACCAAGUCUGCGAUCAGUAGCCGGACUGAGAGGUUGAACGGCCACAUUGGGACUGAGACACGGCCCAGACUCCUACGGGAGGCAGCAGUGGGGGAUAUUGGUCAAUGGGGGGAAACCCUGAACCAGCGAUGCCGCGUGAGGGAAGAAGGUUUUCGGAUUGUAAACCUCUGUCAUCGGGGAAGAUAAUGACGGUACCCGAGAAGGAAGCCACGGCUAACUACGUGCCAGCCGCUGC